Molecule: ribosomal RNA, 420 nt
Filed under: bacterium
Lineage: Bacteria
Description: partial 16S ribosomal RNA
Rfam family: Bacterial small subunit ribosomal RNA
Source: RNAcentral
UGGGGGAUAUUGCACAAUGGGCGAAAGCCUGAUGCAGCGACGCCGCGUGGGGGAUGAAGGCUUUCGGGUUGUAAACCUCUUUCGCUAUCGAACAAGGCCCGCUUAGGGUGGGUUGAGGGUAGGUGGAGAAGAAGCGCCGGCUAACUACGUGCCAGCAGCCGCGGUAAUACGUAGGGCGCGAGCGUUGUCCGGAAUUAUUGGGCGUAACGGGCUUGUAGGCGGCUUGUUGCGCCUGCUGUGAAAACGCGGGGCUUAACUUCGCGCGUGCAGUGGGUACGGGCAGGCUUGAGUGUGGUAGGGGUGACUGGAAUGACAGGUGUAGCGGUGGAAUGCGCAGAUAUCUGGAGGAACACCGAUGGCGAAGGCAGGUCACUGGGCCAUUACUGACGCUGAGGAGCGAAAGCAUGGGUAGCGAACAGG